AUGCAGGGGGUCCGCGGUGGGGCUCAGGGCAGCCGAGCUGUGAUGGGGGCCGGGACAACCCCGCGGCCCCCGGCAGCACCACGGGGGUGUGCGGGUGGCACAGGAUGGGGGCACACGGGCAGCGAGGCCAGAAAUGGGGGCUGCUGCCGUGGCAGAGCCCUUGGCCCAUUGGAGCCCAGGAGAUCUGCUAGGGCAGAGCCGUUGGCCACCCGGGUCCGGCGCUCCCACCGUGGCGGAGCCGAGCUGCCAGCCCGGGGAUGGAUAUCGCCCACCCCGGGGCUGCCAGCCGGGCAGCACUCGGGGAGAUCUCCCCCCGCCGAGCUGCCACCACGGGCUGUGCCGAGCUGUGUCCUGUCCGUGCCAUGUCGGGGCCGUGCCGUGCCGUGCUGUGCCGUGCCGUACUGUGCUGUGCCGUGCUGUGCUGUGCCAUGCUGUGCUGUGCUGUGCCAUGCCAUGUUGUGCCGUGCUGUGCCAUGCCGUGCUGUGCUGUGCUGUACUGUGCCGUGCCAUGUUGUGCCAUGCCGUACUGUGCUGUGCCGUGCUGUGCCAUGCCAAGCCGUGCCAUGCCAAGCCGUGCCAUGCCAUGCCGUGCCGUGCUGUGCCAUGCCGUGCCAUGCCGUGCCGUGCCAUGCCAUGCCGUGCCAUGCCAUGCCGUGCCAUGCCGUACUGUGCCGUGCCGUGCUGUGCCAUGCCAUACUGUGCCAUACCGUGCCGUGUCAUACCGUGCCGUGCCGGCAGGGAACCGAGGCACUGGAUCCCGAGCGCGCUCCGUGCCCGCCCGCCCGGCCCUACCUGGGCACGCCCCGGGGCCGGGUGGGGUGCGGCGGGAGGCGGGCCGGGCCGGGCCGUACCGUGCCGGGCCGGGCCAUACCGUACCGUGCCGGGCCGUGCCGCAGGUGCAGCGGCGGCCCCCGAGGGCCCCUUGGCGCCUCCCGGGAGGUUCAGCAUGGCCGUGCGGUUCCAGGUGCGCUGCCCGCCCGGGAGGGACCGGGGGAGCCCCGGGGAGGUCACCGCGGCGGGCUCGGGGCUGGGCGGCGGGGUCAGCUCCAUCCCACCCGGGUCGGCCCUGUUCCACCCGGCUGCUGGCCGUGGGGAGCUGUGGGGCGGCCGUGGCAGCGCGCCGGGCUGCUUGCUGGCCCGGCCUCGUCGCGCCGCAGGACGGCGGUGGGGCCUCUCCGUGAUUUCCUCGUCACGGAUAAAACCACGCGCUCCUGUCGCCGGGCGCCGUGCCUCCUGCCCUGCCUGGCACCGGGGGGCUGCGGGGUGCCCUGGGCACGGUGGAGGCGGCGGGAGCCUCGUGCCGCGUCCUGCACCCCGAGCAGGAGGCUCGGGCCGGCUGCGGGGAGGCUGCAGCUGAUCCAUCGCGGCAUUGCCUGGCGCUCUCGGUUUGUUUUUCCAUAUCCAGAUGACCCUUGA
This 1416-nucleotide long non-coding RNA is filed under the name Anser brachyrhynchus (Pink-footed goose). RNAcentral's name for it is "lncRNA (ENSABRG00000005613.1)". Lineage: Eukaryota; Metazoa; Chordata; Aves; Anseriformes; Anatidae. The record is from RNAcentral.